Molecule: transfer RNA, 72 nt
Filed under: Acidiphilium rubrum
Lineage: Bacteria; Pseudomonadati; Pseudomonadota; Alphaproteobacteria; Acetobacterales; Acidocellaceae
Rfam family: tRNA
About the family: Transfer RNA (tRNA) molecules are approximately 80 nucleotides in length. Their secondary structure includes four short double-helical elements and three loops (D, anti-codon, and T loops). Further hydrogen bonds mediate the characteristic L-shaped molecular structure. tRNAs have two regions of fundamental functional importance: the anti-codon, which is responsible for specific mRNA codon recognition, and the 3' end, to which the tRNAs corresponding amino acid is attached (by aminoacyl-tRNA synthetases). tRNAs cope with the degeneracy of the genetic code in two manners: having more than one tRNA (with a specific anti-codon) for a particular amino acid; and 'wobble' base-pairing, i.e. permitting non-standard base-pairing at the 3rd anti-codon position.
Source: Rfam by way of RNAcentral
GGCGGCGUAGCUCAGCGGUAGAGCAGGAGAAUCAUAAUCUCUUGGUCGGUGGUUCAAAUCCGCCCGCCGCUA